GCGGGCGUGGUGAAAUUGGUAAACACAAGGGACUUAAAAUCCCUCGGCCUUACGGCCUUGUCGGUUCAAGUCCGACCGCCCGCACCA
RNAcentral lists this transfer RNA (87 nucleotides) under Rhodospirillaceae bacterium. RNAcentral describes it as "tRNA-Leu". It matches the Rfam family "tRNA". From Rfam's summary of the family: Transfer RNA (tRNA) molecules are approximately 80 nucleotides in length. Their secondary structure includes four short double-helical elements and three loops (D, anti-codon, and T loops). The record is from RNAcentral. RNAcentral also lists the same sequence under 6 other names. Lineage: Bacteria; Pseudomonadati; Pseudomonadota; Alphaproteobacteria; Rhodospirillales; Rhodospirillaceae.